AAAGGGUGCGUAGGCGGCCUGAUAAGUCCGGGGUGAAAGCCCGUUGCUCAACAACGGAACUGCCCUGGAUACUGUGAGGCUUGAGUACAGACGAGGUUGGCGGAAUGGACGGAGUAGCGGUGAAAUGCAUAGAUACCGUCCAGAACCCCGAUUGCGAAGGCAGCUGACUAGGCUGUUACUGACGCUGAGGCACGACAGCGUGGGGAGCGAACAGGAUUAGAUACCCUUGU
Molecule: ribosomal RNA, 230 nt
Filed under: uncultured bacterium
Lineage: Bacteria
Description: partial 16S ribosomal RNA
Rfam family: Bacterial small subunit ribosomal RNA
Source: RNAcentral